RNAcentral lists this ribosomal RNA (305 nucleotides) under uncultured bacterium. Its description in RNAcentral is "bacterial SSU rRNA". It matches the Rfam family "Bacterial small subunit ribosomal RNA", at positions 336 to 657 of the family's 1533-position model. The record is from RNAcentral.
UUCCUACGGGAGGCAGCAGUGGGGGAUAUUGCACAAUGGGGGAAACCCUGAUGCAGCGACGCCGCGUGUGGGAAGACGGUCUUCUGGAUUGUAAACCACUGUCCCCAGGGACGAAAAUGACGGUACCUGGGGAGGAAGCUCCGGCUAACUACGUGCCAGCAGCCGCGGUAAUACGUAGGGAGCAAGCGUUGUCCGGAAUUACUGGGUGUAAAGGGAGCGUAGACGGAGGAGCAAGUCUGAUGUGAAAAUCCGGGGCCCAACCCCGGAACUGCAUUGGAAACUGUUUAUCUAGAGUGUCGGAGAGG